Molecule: long non-coding RNA, 1452 nt
Organism: Mauremys reevesii (Reeves's turtle)
Lineage: Eukaryota; Metazoa; Chordata; Testudines; Geoemydidae
Exons: 3
Source: RefSeq, a predicted model, not a curated record
ACAAUCUUUAGGACAGCUAGACAGACAGGUAGCAGAUGUAUGUGCUAAAAUACAGUGGACCAGAUCCUCAGCUGGAGUACACUGAUGUAGGUCUGUUGAUGUCAAUCGACCUCUCUUGAUUCACAUUAGCUGAGAAGCUGAUCCGAUAAAUACUCCCAUAGCAACUCCCUUCUGAAGUAAGGAAGUGCCAUUGUACAGAUGAGACACACAGAAGCUAUGAUGCUUGGCCAAGAAGCGUGUGGGGAGCUGGGACUAAAGUCAGGCAUUUGGCAUCACCAACACAAGUCUAAGUUGCUGUCCACUGCCUCUUCAUUCUCUGGGCCUGAUCCUCAACUUCACUGGGCUUUGGCUCAGGCUCCAGUUGGGUGAUUUUCUGCCAGCUGUAUUAACCUCCUCCUUUUUUUCUAAAUUGAAGUGAAUGCAUUAUUUUUUACCAAUAUUUCUACUCUUUCUAGGUCCCUUUCUUUUAUUUCUCAGUCCUUACAGUUAUGCACAACUCCUCCCAGCUAGGAAGCAUCGGCCAGUUUUAUUAAUGAGCUGCAUGCGCCUUUCACUAGAUCAUUAAUGAAAAUAUAAGAUGAGACCUGACCAAAGAUCCUUGCAAAACUCCACUGAGAUGCCUCCCACAAACAUAAUACUUGGCUUACUGUCCUUUAGCCGGUUUUCAAUCCACAGGACAGUGUGGGUAUUAGGUGACAACAAGAUGUCCCAGCCAAGACCAGGGCCUUUUCUGAUGGCACACAAACAUUAUUAAUUAAUUAAUCAUUAAUUAUUAUUAGAAGUCUUAACCCUUAAAAUAUCUUAAAUAGCUGUGUGUGUAUGGAUGGGUGUAUAUAGAUACAGAUGUGUGUAUACAGGUACCAGACGUGUGGGGUGUCUGUGCGUGUGUUAAGCACUAGGAAGAUGUACAUGUGUAUCAAACUUCUUGAUGUUAAAGACUGAAGGCCUCUGUUCUUGUUCUAGGAGGAGACCUGUCCUAGUUAUUCAUAGAUAGAUAUGAAUGAGUGCACAUAAUGCGCGCGCGCGCGCACACACACACUAUCUUGUGUUUGUGUGUGUGUAUAGAAAUGUCUAGGACAGGUCUCUGCAAAAGGAAAACAAAGGCAUCUCAGUUGGAGUAACUUUCAGAGCAGGGCAUUUUUCGAAUUUCCCCCACCACACAAACCCAGGAGCGCUGCUUACAGACUCUCCUAUUAAACCCAGGCGAAAACAAACAGGCAUUAUCGGGGGGGCGUGAGUGGGGGGGAGAGAAGAAAGUUCCCAUUGAAAAAGAAGUUUCUGGCUAUGUUGGUUUUAUUGGCCUGGUGGAACCCUAUAGAUUAACAACCAGCAGCAGCAGCAACCCCCCCAAGCCCGGACCUAAGAAAUCCAGUAGAAGGUGUGACUUCAAAUGGGGUGGUAGGGAUAGGGAGAAAGGAAGCCGGAAUGUAGGCAUGUGUGUGAUGUGAUUGU